Molecule: long non-coding RNA, 1090 nt
Filed under: Bos indicus x Bos taurus (hybrid cattle)
Lineage: Eukaryota; Metazoa; Chordata; Mammalia; Artiodactyla; Bovidae
Description: lncRNA (ENSBIXG00000006903.1)
Source: RNAcentral
AUGCAAAGUAGUCAUUUCUCCCUGCAGAAAGAGGGUGGUUCUGAAGCUGAAAGGUUCUUGGGCAGCGGUGGGGACCACUGGCUUGGCCUUAAGCCUGCCCUGUGUGGUGCUGCUGGCUUUGACUCUUCAGAUGAAGUGGAGAUGCUUUCAAGCUGUUUCUUCCAGGACAGACACUCAUGUGACUUUGAACUUUCUUGUUCACAAUCCAUUCUGCUGGGCUGUGGACCCUGCACAGACCCCCAGAUGCAAGGAAUGAAGGAAGCAGAUGCCUCCUGGACUAAGACAGAUGCUUCAUGGAGGAGAGUGGAAAUCAGCAGUCCCUGGGCUCCCUUCCAUGGCCUGUCACAUUGUCUUAUCUCGUUCAAGGGAGAGCCAGCCAUUUUGAAUUGGGCUUUCUAUGCUCAACCCAAAGAAUCUGGCUUAUGCGGUUGGAGAAGAGAGAUGGGGAGUGCCCACAGUCUACUGGUUUUUACUGCUUCCCUCAGGAGGAAGUGGCAUUUACCUAACUCCCCGCUGCUCACUGACUGUGGCUGUUAUCACAGUGAAGAAAACCUUCCAGAAGACUGAACUUUUUCAGGAUGGCACUUUUAGGAUAUUUUCCAUGUGGAUAAGUGUACGAGAGACAUACGACGGCAAAAUCAGAAACUCUGGACUUGCCAGUUAAUUCCCUCUUUAGCUUUUCUUUACACCAGGGGAAGAAAGACCCUAAAAGCAUGGUAAUUUUUUGUGUUUUAGACCCUAAAUUUUUAUUACGCUUUGAAAUUUAACCUACGAUCAUUCUCUCUUUUUGUUGCACAUACAUCUGCAUCAGACACCAACAGUGACCAGAUCUGCCUUUGACCUCCCUAACGGGAACUUAAUUGUCUUUUAUGCCCAAGUGGUCACCAUACACCACCACCUGUGAUGCCUCCCAGGCAGGAGGAGAGGACAAUCUUUUUUUCAUGUGUGUGGAGUAAAUCACACAAGCCAGUCAGUAUACAGAUUGACUUCUAUAUACUGUAGAAUAUAACCAUCGCCGAAAACUGAAUUCUUGAAUAUGAGUGUUAUCCUGGCCAAUAAAAAUAGAAAUCACCAUAGAGGAGUUAAUUAA